This 468-nucleotide ribosomal RNA is filed under the name uncultured bacterium. Its description in RNAcentral is "partial 16S ribosomal RNA". It matches the Rfam family "Bacterial small subunit ribosomal RNA", at positions 28 to 507 of the family's 1533-position model. The record is from RNAcentral.
GACGAACGCUGGCGGCGUGCUUAACACAUGCAAGUCGAACGGAAAGGCCCUGCUUUUGUGGGGUGCUCGAGUGGCGAACGGGUGAGUAACACGUGAGUAACCUGCCCUUGACCUUGGGAUAACUUCAGGAAACUGGGGCUAAUACCGGAUAGGAGCUCCUGCUGCAUGGUGGGGGUUGGACAGUUUCGGCGGUUGGGGAUGUACUCGCGGCUUAUCAGCUUGUUGGUGGGGUAGUGGCUUACCAAGGCUUUGACGGGUAGCCGGCAUGGGAGGGGGGACAGCCACAUUGGGCCUGAGGGAGGGCGCAGAGUCCUAUGGUAGGCAGCAGGGGGGAGUAUUGCACAAUGGGGGGACGUCUGAGGCAGAAACGCCGCGUGCGGGAUGACGGCCUUCGGGGGGUAAACCGCUGUCGGCUGUGACGAAGCGGGAGUGACGGUAAUGGGUAAAGAAGCACCGGCUAACUACGUG